Molecule: ribosomal RNA, 1019 nt
Filed under: uncultured bacterium
Lineage: Bacteria
Description: bacterial SSU rRNA
Rfam family: Bacterial small subunit ribosomal RNA
Source: RNAcentral
UGAGGAAUAUUGGUCAAUGGACGAGAGUCUGAACCAGCCAAGUAGCGUGCAGGAAGACGGCCCUAUGGGUUGUAAACUGCUUUUAUAAGGGAAUAAAGUGAGUCUCGUGAGACUUUUUGCAUGUACCUUAUGAAUAAGGACCGGCUAAUUCCGUGCCAGCAGCCGCGGUAAUACGGAAGGUCCGGGCGUUAUCCGGAUUUAUUGGGUUUAAAGGGAGCGUAGGCCGGAGAUUAAGCGUGUUGUGAAAUGUAGAUGCUUAACAUCUGAACUGCAGCGCGAACUGGUUUCCUUGAGUACGCACAAAGUGGGCGGAAUUCGUGGUGUAGCGGUGAAAUGCUUAGAUAUCACGAAGAACUCCGAUUGCGAAGGCAGCUCACUGGAGCGCAACUGACGCUGAAGCUCGAAAGUGCGGGUAUCGAACAGGAUUAGAUACCCUGGUAGUCCGCACGGUAAACGAUGGAUGCCCGCUGUUGGUCUGAAUAGGUCAGCGGCCAAGCGAAAGCAUUAAGCAUCCCACCUGGGGAGUACGCCGGCAACGGUGAAACUCAAAGGAAUUGACGGGGGCCCGCACAAGCGGAGGAACAUGUGGUUUAAUUCGAUGAUACGCGAGGAACCUUACCCGGGCUUGAAUUGCAGAGGAAGGAUUUGGAGACAAUGACGCCCUUCGGGGUCUCUGUGAAGGUGCUGCAUGGUUGUCGUCAGCUCGUGCCGUGAGGUGUCGGCUUAAGUGCCAUAACGAGCGCAACCCCUCUCCUUAGUUGCCAUCAGGUUAAGCUGGGCACUCUGGGGACACUGCCACCGUAAGGUGUGAGGAAGGUGGGGAUGACGUCAAAUCAGCACGGCCCUUACGUCCGGGGCUACACACGUGUUACAAUGGCAGGUACAGAGAGACGGUCCCUUGCAAAAUGGAUCAAAUCCUUAAAGCCUGUCUCAGUUCGGACUGGGGUCUGCAACCCGACCCCACGAAGCUGGAUUCGCUAGUAAUCGCGCAUCAGCCAUGGCGCGGUGAAUACGUUCCC